GUUAUAUUCACUGUGACAAAAGUGAUCGACUCCCAUAGAGUUGUUUUCGCAACUGGCAGUGCCAAAUGACCCCUAGCGUCAGUGCUGAUAACUGGUGUUAAUUACUAAGGUAUACAAUUUCACUCUAUUAGUAUAGACAUUUACUCAGUAAGUGUAAACAGCAUCACAACCCCGCACAUAAGUUCAGUUUCUGCGUUCAAAUUUCCUUUUCGCGACACCAUUGUUGGAUCAACAAAAUCCUAAUUUGUUCCACGACAACUGCUUACUAUAUAUUGAAGACUAAUCUGAUUUAAGCUUUCCUGAAAUGUGAGAUCCCACUAGUUUAUCA
Molecule: long non-coding RNA, 328 nt
Filed under: Salmo salar (Atlantic salmon)
Lineage: Eukaryota; Metazoa; Chordata; Actinopteri; Salmoniformes; Salmonidae
Description: lncRNA (ENSSSAG00000110465.1, ENSSSAG00075025456.1)
Source: RNAcentral